UCCCUAGUGGUCCAGUGCUUAGGACACUGUGCUUUCACUGCUGGGGGUCCAGGUUCAAUCCCUGGUUGGGGAA
This is a transfer RNA of Ovis aries (sheep), 73 nucleotides long. It matches the Rfam family "tRNA". Rfam says of the family: Transfer RNA (tRNA) molecules are approximately 80 nucleotides in length. Their secondary structure includes four short double-helical elements and three loops (D, anti-codon, and T loops). Lineage: Eukaryota; Metazoa; Chordata; Mammalia; Artiodactyla; Bovidae. The record is from Rfam.